RNAcentral lists this ribosomal RNA (497 nucleotides) under uncultured bacterium. Its description in RNAcentral is "partial 16S ribosomal RNA". It matches the Rfam family "Bacterial small subunit ribosomal RNA", at positions 28 to 507 of the family's 1533-position model. The record is from RNAcentral.
GAUGAACGCUGGCGGCGUGCCUAAUACAUGCCAGUCGAGCGAACGGACGAGAAGCUUGCUUCUCUGAUGUUAGCGGCGGACGGGUGAGUAACACGUGGAUAACCUACCUAUAAGACUGGGAUAACUUCGGGAAACUGGAGCUAAUACCGGAUAAUAUUUUGAACCGCAUGGUUCAAAAGUGAAAGACGGUCUUGCUGUCACUUAUAGAUGGAUCCGCGCUGCAUUAGCUAGUUGGUAAGGUAACGGCUUACCAAGGCAACGAUGCAUAGCCGACCUGAGAGGGUGAUCGGCCACACUGGAACUGAGACACGGUCCAGACUCCUACGGGAGGCAGCAGUAGGGAAUCUUCCGCAAUGGGCGAAAGCCUGACGGAGCAACGCCGCGUGAGUGAUGAAGGUCUUCGGAUCGUAAAACUCUGUUAUUAGGGAAGAACAUAUGUGUAAGUAACUGUGCACAUCUUGACGGUACCUAAUCAGAAAGCCACGGCUAACUACGUG